RNAcentral lists this ribosomal RNA (304 nucleotides) under Rothia sp. (in: high G+C Gram-positive bacteria). RNAcentral describes it as "Rothia sp. (human oral metagenome) partial 23S ribosomal RNA". It matches the Rfam family "Bacterial large subunit ribosomal RNA", at positions 2629 to 2925 of the family's 2925-position model. The record is from RNAcentral. Lineage: Bacteria; Bacillati; Actinomycetota; Actinomycetes; Micrococcales; Micrococcaceae.
GUUCGGUCCCUAUCCGCUGCGCGCGUUGGAAAUUUGAGAAAGGCUGUCCUUAGUACGAGAGGACCGGGACGGACGAACCUCUGGUAUGUCAGUUGUACCGCCAGGUGCAUGGCUGAUUGGCUACGUUCGGGAGGGAUAACCGCUGAAAGCAUCUAAGCGGGAAGCCUGUUUCGAGAUGAGAUUUCCUGGCACUUUUUGGUGUGUGAGGCUCCUUAUAGAUGAUGAGGUUGAUAGGCCGGGUAUGGAAGCGGGGACUGAAGACUCGUGGAGUUGACUGGUACUAAUAGGCCGAAGGCUUACUUUU